RNAcentral lists this ribosomal RNA (253 nucleotides) under uncultured bacterium. RNAcentral describes it as "partial 16S ribosomal RNA". It matches the Rfam family "Bacterial small subunit ribosomal RNA", at positions 524 to 776 of the family's 1533-position model. The record is from RNAcentral.
GACGGAAGGUGCAAGCGUUGCUCGGAUUCACUGGGUUUAAAGGGUGCGUAGGUGGGUCUGUAAGUCAGUGGUGAAAUCUCCGUGCUUAACAUGGAAACUGCCAUUGAUACUAUAGGUCUUGAAUUUUCUGGAGGUAAGCGGAAUAUGUCAUGUAGCGGUGAAAUGCUUAGAUAUGACAUAGAACACCAAUUGCGAAGGCAGCUUACUACGGGAACAUUGACACUGAGGCACGAAAGCGUGGGGAUCAAACAGG